This 52-nucleotide non-coding RNA is filed under the name Candidatus Palibaumannia cicadellinicola. Lineage: Bacteria; Pseudomonadati; Pseudomonadota; Gammaproteobacteria. The record is from RNAcentral.
CGUGUGGCUUAUAGUUAAAAUCGUCGAUAGCGACACAAUCUGACGAAUAGGU